UGCAGUCGAGCGAACAGACGAGGAGCUUGCUCCUCUGACGUUAGCGGCGGACGGGUGAGUAACACGUGGAUAACCUACCUAUAAGACUGGGAUAACUUCGGGAAACCGGAGCUAAUACCGGAUAAUAUAUUGAACCGCAUGGUUCAAUAGUGAAAGACGGUUUUGCUGUCACUUAUAGAUGGAUCCGCGCCGCAUUAGCUAGUUGGUAAGGUAACGGCUUACCAAGGCAACGAUGCGUAGCCGACCUGAGAGGGUGAUCGGCCACACUGGAACUGAGACACGGUCCAGACUCCUACGGGAGGCAGCAGUAGGGAAUCUUCCGCAAUGGGCGAAAGCCUGACGGAGCAACGCCGCGUGAGUGAUGAAGGUCUUCGGAUCGUAAAACUCUGUUAUUAGGGAAGAACAAAUGUGUAAGUAACUAUGCACGUCUUGACGGUACCUAAUCAGAAAGCCACGGCUAACUACGUGCCAGCAGCCGCGGUAAUACGUAGGUGGCAAGCGUUAUCCGGAAUUAUUGGGCGUAAAGCGCGCGUAGGCGGUUUUUUAAGUCUGAUGUGAAAGCCCACGGCUCAACCGUGGAGGGUCAUUGGAAACUGGAAACUUGAGUGCAGAAGAGGAAAGUGGAAUUCCAUGUGUAGCGGUGAAAUGCGCAGAGAUAUGGAGGAACACCAGGUGGCGAAAGCGACUUUCUGGUCUGUAACUGACGCUGAUGUGCGAAAGCGUGGGGAUC
Molecule: ribosomal RNA, 730 nt
Filed under: Staphylococcus sp.
Lineage: Bacteria; Bacillati; Bacillota; Bacilli; Caryophanales; Staphylococcaceae
Description: bacterial SSU rRNA
Rfam family: Bacterial small subunit ribosomal RNA
Source: RNAcentral